Molecule: small nucleolar RNA, 71 nt
Organism: Procambarus clarkii (red swamp crayfish)
Lineage: Eukaryota; Metazoa; Arthropoda; Malacostraca; Decapoda; Cambaridae
Product: small nucleolar RNA SNORD18
Source: RefSeq, a predicted model, not a curated record
UUUAAAUGAUGAAUAACAUCCUCUUGGUCCGUGUUUAUGAAAGACAUGAUUCUGUGAAGAGGUCUGAUGUG